UACGUAGGUGGCAAGCGUUGUCCGGAAUUAUUGGGCGUAAAGCGCGCGCAGGCGGCUUCUUAAGUCUGAUGUGAAAGCCCACGGCUCAACCGUGGAGGGUCAUUGGAAACUGGGAGGCUUGAGUGCAGAAGAGAAGAGCGGAAUUCCACGUGUAGCGGUGAAAUGCGUAGAGAUGUGGAGGAACACCAGUGGCGAAGGCGGCUCUUUGGUCUGUAACUGACGCUGAGGCGCGAAAGCGUGGGGAGAGAACAGG
This 253-nucleotide ribosomal RNA is filed under the name uncultured prokaryote. Its description in RNAcentral is "partial 16S ribosomal RNA". It matches the Rfam family "Bacterial small subunit ribosomal RNA", at positions 524 to 776 of the family's 1533-position model. The record is from RNAcentral.